CUACGACGAUGUUUAAACACGUUGCGUUUGUGCGAGCUGUCGAACAACAAGAGCACGUCGUUGUUGCCUCUCCUCAGCCUACGGCGUUGACUGGCGAGUCUGCUAGGAAGUUCUACGACCACGUUGUAUCGCAACCGUCGACGUCUGUCGACGUCGCCGAGACAACAGUAACGGCGACGACUACAGGCCGAAAUCGUGGACGCCAAACUUCGCUUUGUCAGCCAGUGAAACCACUCAAAGUCAGUGAAUACUUCAUUGCCGCUCAGAGGAACGAUAUCACCAAGCUAGAACAAUGUCUGCGUUCUGGUGUCCGCGUAGACGUUACCGAUAUUUUCGGUUGGACUGCUCUCAUGUGCGCCUCUUGCGAUGGUGCCGCGGCCAGCGUUCGGUACCUCCUAAAAAACGGUGCGAGUAGGCACUUGGCUAAUGCGCAAGGAAAAACCGCCAUCGAACUGGCGGCACAGCGUGGACACGUUGAAGUCGUCGAAGUGCUCUGUAAGCCCGAGAAACUCGCCAAGACUCUGAGCAUUCAGAGCACGGAGCGGCAGGAUGGCGAUUCUAGACGCGAUCCAGCGCAACUGUGCCGCGUAUGCGAUAGGCACUUCAGUUAUUCAGAAAAGAACACUCACGAAGCAUCAAUAGUGCAUCAAUUUAACCUGAGUCGGAAUGGGGCACCGGGUGUGACGCAUUAUGGAAUUUCCGAGAGUAACGCCGGUUUCCAAAUGCUUCUCGGUAUGGGUUGGGACAGAAACAAAGGGUUCGGACAUCGGGAGCAAGGGCGUAAGUUCCCUGUGAAAACUGUGCUAAGGCGAAACCGCAGCGGACUUGGAGCUGAGGUGUCCACGCCCAGGGUGACGCACUUCGCGCCGCACGAUAGAGCUGCCGUUGAAAACGAGUCGCGUCUCGGCGGCACGGCACCGUCGCCGAAGAGGAACCGGAAAGAACAGGAGAGCCAGUCUCAAAGAAUGAAAAUAAUGGAGAUUGAAUUUCGACGGUCCUUCCACUAGUUGCAGCCAAAAAGCACACUUCAAUGAAUCCGACGACAGCACGUGUGAAGCAGUAUCUGGCAGACAUUGAAUCGACUGCCGAGACGAUCCUGGCUGACAAAGAGCAAGUUGUGGAGCUCGACCGACGACGACAAAAGAACAGAGAAGCUCUAAGAGCACUUAAACACUUGGAGGAAGAUAUCCACAGGCCUUGGGUCUGCAUUGGAAACAUGUUCAUGAAAAUUCCAAAGCUUCGAACCAAAGAGCUUCUAGAACAAG
RNA transcript from Rhipicephalus sanguineus (brown dog tick), 1265 nucleotides. It is a transcript of the gene named p53 and DNA damage-regulated protein 1, with no coding region annotated. NCBI's taxonomy places the organism in Eukaryota, Metazoa, Arthropoda, Arachnida, Ixodida, Ixodidae. The record is from RefSeq and is a predicted model, not a curated record. The transcript is spliced from 3 exons.